This 745-nucleotide ribosomal RNA is filed under the name uncultured bacterium. RNAcentral's name for it is "bacterial SSU rRNA". It matches the Rfam family "Bacterial small subunit ribosomal RNA", at positions 33 to 773 of the family's 1533-position model. The record is from RNAcentral.
ACGCUGGCGGCAGGCCUAACACAUGCAAGUCGAGCGGUAGAGAGAAGCUUGCUUCUCUUGAGAGCGGCGGACGGGUGAGUAAUGCCUAGGAAUCUGCCUGGUAGUGGGGGAUAACGUUCGGAAACGGACGCUAAUACCGCAUACGUCCUACGGGAGAAAGCAGGGGACCUUCGGGCCUUGCGCUAUCAGAUGAGCCUAGGUCGGAUUAGCUAGUUGGUGGGGUAAUGGCUCACCAAGGCGACGAUCCGUAACUGGUCUGAGAAGAUGAUCAGUCACACUGGAACUGAGACACGGUCCAGACUCCUACGGGAGGCAGCAGUGGGGAAUAUUGGACAAUGGGCGAAAGCCUGAUCCAGCCAUGCCGCGUGUGUGAAGAAGGUCUUCGGAUUGUAAAGCACUUUAAGUUGGGAGGAAGGGUUGUAGAUUAAUACUCUGCAAUUUUGACGUUACCGACAGAAUAAGCACCGGCUAACUCUGUGCCAGCAGCCGCGGUAAUACAGAGGGUGCAAGCGUUAAUCGGAAUUACUGGGCGUAAAGCGCGCGUAGGUGGUUAGUUAAGUUGGAUGUGAAAUCCCCGGGCUCAACCUGGGAACUGCAUUCAAAACUGACUGACUAGAGUAUGGUAGAGGGUGGUGGAAUUUCCUGUGUAGCGGUGAAAUGCGUAGAUAUAGGAAGGAACACCAGUGGCGAAGGCGACCACCUGGACUGAUACUGACACUGAGGUGCGAAAGCGUGGGGAGCAAAC